Non-coding RNA from Motacilla alba alba, 1332 nucleotides. The record is from the annotation of a RefSeq genome assembly. NCBI's taxonomy places the organism in Eukaryota, Metazoa, Chordata, Aves, Passeriformes, Motacillidae.
AUGGACACACGUGAAGCACGGAUUUGUCUGGGGCUCCGCUCCGGAGAGCACGGCCCUGUGUGUGUCCGUGUGCGUCCCUGAUCGGGAGGGAAUGUCCCGACCGUGGCAGGGCCAGCGAGCACUGCCCUGGCCCUGCCCAGCCCAGAGCAGCAGCUGCCCAGGCUCACAAGCAGCCCGAGUGCAGCUGGCUGGGGCCGGCAGCUGCCCGCUGCAGGUGUGCGCAGGGCGGAUCCGCUUCCCGCGCGGUGCCGCUGGUGUGUGCGAUGGGACACGGCUGUCUCUUGUCGCCGGCCGUGCCCAAGGUGCUCGUGUCGCUCGUAGUGCCGGUGCCGUGAGAGGCGGGGCUGAGCCCCGGGGCGGAGCUGGCGGCGGCCCAGAGGAGGCGGCACGGCCGCAGCAGAGCCGGGGCUCAGGGGCACAGCGAGGCUCGGCCGGCGGAGCGGCGCCAUGCGGCGGGCUCGGGCCGCGGGGCUGCCGGCGCUGGCCGCGCUGCUGCUCGUGGCUGUGGCUAGAGCCCAGGUGCAGCAGGAGCCAUUCCUGGAGACCACCGAGGGCACCGGCAACAACAUCACCUGCUCACACUCCAGCAAACGGAUGGGCGAUACGAUCCAUUUCUACCGUCAGCUCCCGGGCCAAGGCCCCGAAUUCCUCGCCCUCGCUGCUAGAGGCUCCAAGGAUGCGCCGGGCAUUGCAGGAACGCUGUCGGUGUCGGAGGACGGGCGCUCCAGCGCGCUGUGGCUGGCUGUGCCCCGGCGCGGGGACGCGGCCGUGUAUUACUGCGCGCUGGGGGCCACGGGCAGAGGAGCCGGGGCUGCGGCCGGGCACGAACCGCCGCGGGCGGGGCCGGGCGGGGCCAGCAGGGGCCGCUGCCGCUCCGCCCGCCGGGCUCCCGGGGCGCGGCUCCGCAGCUCCUUCCUCUGCCCCGAGCCCGCCCGCACCGACAGCGCCGAUGGCACCGAAAAGGCCGACACGCUCCGGGCCUGCUGGCCCUCCCUUUAACUACUAUUGCUUCUCCUCCCUUCCAUCACAUCCCUCAGCAUCCCUGACGCCUUGCUGGCAACAAAGCAGCAACCCGAGUAGAAGAAGCAAUUAAAGAACUCCUACUGCACAUACACGAGUUCAUGGUACCACACACACACUCUGGGGCUUGCACAUGCCCAAAUGAUAACUCAUAGCUCUGCAUCUAUGAAGAGGUGUGUGCACACACAUUUCCAAAGGAGACCCAGGCACAGACACUUCUCCUUCUGCCAUGUCCCCACUGAUGUGCAAACACGCACGCUCGCUCCUAUUCCUGCUCCUGCACCCAAGCCUUUGCACGCACAUCUACGUGAA